ACUAUCGUUAACUGAAUACAUAGGUUAACGAGGCGAACCGGGGGAACUGAAACAUCUAAGUACCCCGAGGAAAAGAAAUCAACCGAGAUUCCCCCAGUAGCGGCGAGCGAACGGGGAGCAGCCCAGAGUCUGAAUCAGCUUGUGUGUUAGUGGAACGGUCUGGAAAGUCCGACGGUACAGGGUGAUAGUCCCGUACACCAAAAUGCACAGGCUGUGAACUCGAAGAGUAGGGCGGGACACGUGGUAUCCUGUCUGAAUAUGGGGGGACCAUCCUCCAAGGCUAAAUACUCCUGACUGACCGAUAGUGAACCAGUACCGUGAGGGAAAGGCGAAAAGAACCCCGGCGAGGGGAGUGAAAAAGAACCUGAAACCGUGUACGUACAAGCAGUGGGAGCACCUUCGGGUGUGACUGCGUACCUUUUGUAUAAUGGGUCAGCGACUUAUAUUCUGUAGCAAGGUUAACCGUAUAGGGGAGCCGCAGGGAAACCGAGUCUUAACUGGGCGUUAAGUUGCAGGGUAUAGACCCGAAACCCGGUGAUCUAGCCAUGGGCAGGUUGAAGGUUGGGUAACACUAACUGGAGGACCGAACCGACUAAUGUUGAAAAAUUAGCGGAUGACUUGUGGCUGGGGGUGAAAGGCCAAUCAAACCGGGAGAUAGCUGGUUCUCCCCGAAAGCUAUUUAGGUAGCGCCUCGUGAAUUCAUCUUCGGGGGUAGAGCACUGUUUCGGCUAGGGGGUCAUCCCGACUUACCAACCCGAUGCAAACUACGAAUACCGAAGAAUGUUAUCACGGGAGACACACGGCGGGUGCUAACGUCCGUCGUGAAGAGGGAAACAACCCAGACCGCCAGCUAAGGUCCCAAAGUCAUGGUUAAGUGGGAAACGAUGUGGGAAGGCACAGACAGCCAGGAUGUUGGCUUAGAAGCAGCCAUCAUUUAAAGAAAGCGUAAUAGCUCACUGGUCGAGUCGGCCUGCGCGGAAGAUGUAACGGGGCUAAACCAUGCACCGAAGCUGCGGCAGCGACACUAUGUGUUGUUGGGUAGGGGAGCGUUCUGUAAGCCUGCGAAGGUGUGCUGUGAGGCAUGCUGGAGGUAUCAGAAGUGCGAAUGCUGACAUAAGUAACGAUAAAGCGGGUGAAAAGCCCGCUCGCCGGAAGACCAAGGGUUCCUGUCCAACGUUAAUCGGGGCAGGGUGAGUCGACCCCUAAGGCGAGGCCGAAAGGCGUAGUCGAUGGGAAACAGGUUAAUAUUCCUGUACUUGGUGUUACUGCGAAGGGGGGACGGAGAAGGCUAUGUUAGCCGGGCGACGGUUGUCCCGGUUUAAGCAUGUAGGCUGAUUGUCCAGGCAAAUCCGGAUAAUCAAGGCUGAGGUGUGAUGACGAGGCACUACGGUGCUGAAGUAACAAAUGCCCUGCUUCCAGGAAAAGCCUCUAAGCAUCAGGUAACAUCAAAUCGUACCCCAAACCGACACAGGUGGUCAGGUAGAGAAUACCAAGGCGCUUGAGAGAACUCGGGUGAAGGAACUAGGCAAAAUGGUGCCGUAACUUCGGGAGAAGGCACGCUGGUGUGUAGGUGAAGUCCCUGCGGAUGGAGCUGAGACCAGUCGAAGAUACCAGCUGGCUGCAACUGUUUAUUAAAAACACAGCACUGUGCAAACACGAAAGUGGACGUAUACGGUGUGACGCCUGCCCGGUGCCGGAAGGUUAAUUGAUGGGGUUAUCCGUAAGGAGAAGCUCUUGAUCGAAGCCCCGGUAAACGGCGGCCGUAACUAUAACGGUCCUAAGGUAGCGAAAUUCCUUGUCGGGUAAGUUCCGACCUGCACGAAUGGCGUAAUGAUGGCCAGGCUGUCUCCACCCGAGACUCAGUGAAAUUGAACUCGCUGUGAAGAUGCAGUGUACCCGCGGCAAGACGGAAAGACCCCGUGAACCUUUACUAUAGCUUGACACUGAACAUUGAGCCUUGAUGUGUAGGAUAGGUGGGAGGCUUUGAAGCGUGGACGCCAGUCUGCGUGGAGCCAACCUUGAAAUACCACCCUUUAAUGUUUGAUGUUCUAACGUUGGCCCCUUACCGGGGUUGCGGACAGUGUCUGGUGGGUAGUUUGACUGGGGCGGUCUCCUCCCAAAGCGUAACGGAGGAGCACGAAGGUUAGCUAAUCCUGGUCGGACAUCAGGAGGUUAGUGCAAUGGCAUAAGCUAGCUUGACUGCGAGCGUGACGGCGCGAGCAGGUGCGAAAGCAGGUCAUAGUGAUCCGGUGGUUCUGAAUGGAAGGGCCAUCGCUCAACGGAUAAAAGGUACUCCGGGGAUAACAGGCUGAUACCGCCCAAGAGUUCAUAUCGACGGCGGUGUUUGGCACCUCGAUGUCGGCUCAUCACAUCCUGGGGCUGAAGUAGGUCCCAAGGGUAUGGCUGUUCGCCAUUUAAAGUGGUACGCGAGCUGGGUUUAGAACGUCGUGAGACAGUUCGGUCCCUAUCUGCCGUGGGCGCUGGAGAAUUGAGGGGGGCUGCUCCUAGUACGAGAGGACCGGAGUGGACGCAUCACUGGUGUUCGGGUUGUCAUGCCAAUGGCACUGCCCGGUAGCUAAAUGCGGAAGAGAUAAGUGCUGAAAGCAUCUAAGCACGAAACUUGCCCCGAGAUGAGUUCU
RNAcentral lists this ribosomal RNA (2639 nucleotides) under Klebsiella pneumoniae. Its description in RNAcentral is "bacterial LSU rRNA". It matches the Rfam family "Bacterial large subunit ribosomal RNA". The record is from RNAcentral. Lineage: Bacteria; Pseudomonadati; Pseudomonadota; Gammaproteobacteria; Enterobacterales; Enterobacteriaceae.